CUGGAAAGGUAAUAAUCAAUAGAUUGCUUUACUCUCGGGUUAUUCUAAUAUGCAAGGACUAUACGGGUCUGUAGCUCAGGUGGUUAGAGCACCACACUGAUAAUGUAGGGGUCCGCAGUUCGAGUCGUACCAGGCCCACCAUUUAGGCUUAAGAUAUCUAGGAUUGAGUGAUCCGUUAUCAGUACUGUUAAGUUAUGAUCCUUACCAGAUCCACUCAAAGAUGGGGGGAUUAGCUCAGCUGGCAGAGCACCUGCUUUGCAAGCAGGAGGUCAUCGGUUCGAUCCCGUUCACCUCCACCAGAUCUUUUCGCAGUCUCAGAAUGAGUCGGCAGGAUGUCUUUUAAAUGAUUGGAAGAAGUGAAGUGUAGCGUGCUCCAAGAUGAGUUGCAUGGGUAGAUUGAUUGCAUGAACCCAUGCGAUGUGUCAGCAGCGUGUGAGGUUCGCACAAACGAGUUCGACCUGUGACCGGAUAUUUGGGUGACCGAGUGGUCUAAGGUUAUAG
RNAcentral lists this unclassified non-coding RNA (501 nucleotides) under uncultured beta proteobacterium. RNAcentral's name for it is "16S-23S ribosomal RNA intergenic spacer". The stretch from base 224 to 296 matches the Rfam family "tRNA". Lineage: Bacteria; Pseudomonadati; Pseudomonadota; Betaproteobacteria. The record is from RNAcentral.